AGCUUGCUUCUAUGACGUUAGCGGCGGACGGGUGAGUAACACGUGGGCAACCUGCCUGUAAGACUGGGAUAACUUCGGGAAACCGAAGCUAAUACCGGAUAGGAUCUUCUCCUUCAUGGGAGAUGAUUGAAAGAUGGUUUCGGCUAUCACUUACAGAUGGGCCCGCGGUGCAUUAGCUAGUUGGUGAGGUAACGGCUCACCAAGGCAACGAUGCAUAGCCGACCUGAGAGGGUGAUCGGCCACACUGGGACUGAGACACGGCCCAGACUCCUACGGGAGGCAGCAGUAGGGAAUCUUCCGCAAUGGACGAAAGUCUGACGGAGCAACGCCGCGUGAGUGAUGAAGGCUUUCGGGUCGUAAAACUCUGUUGUUAGGGAAGAACAAGUACGAGAGUAACUGCUCGUACCUUGACGGUACCUAACCAGAAAGCCACGGCUAACUACGUGCCAGCAGCCGCGGUAAUACGUAGGUGGCAAGCGUUAUCCGGAAUUAUUGGGCGUAAAGCGCGCGCAGGCGGUUUCUUAAGUCUGAUGUGAAAGCCCACGGCUCAACCGUGGAGGGUCAUUGGAAACUGGGGAACUUGAGUGCAGA
Molecule: ribosomal RNA, 591 nt
Filed under: Bacillus sp. T57-1
Lineage: Bacteria; Bacillati; Bacillota; Bacilli; Caryophanales; Bacillaceae
Description: bacterial SSU rRNA
Rfam family: Bacterial small subunit ribosomal RNA
Source: RNAcentral